CCUACGGGGGGCAGCAGUGGGGAAUAUUGGACAAUGGGCGCAAGCCUGAUCCAGCCAUGCCGCGUGUGUGAAGAAGGCCUUUUGGUUGUAAAGCACUUUAAGCGGGGAGGAGGGCACCACGGUUAAUACCCGUGAAUGUCGGACGUUACCCGCAGAAUAAGCACCGGCUAACUCUGUGCCAGCAGCCGCGGUAAUACAGAGGGUGCGAGCGUUAAUCGGAAUUACUGGGCGUAAAGCGCGCGUAGGCGGUUAUGUAAGUUGGAUGUGAAAUCCCCGGGCUUAACCUGGGCACUGCAUUCAAAACUGCAUAGCUAGAGUAUGGGAGAGGAAGGUAGAAUUCCAGGUGUAGCGGUGAAAUGCGUAGAGAUCUGGAGGAAUACCGAUGGCGAAGGCAGCCUUCUGGCCUAAUACUGACGCUGAGGUGCGAAAGCAUGGGGAGCAAACAGGAUUAGAUACCCCGGUAGUC
RNAcentral lists this ribosomal RNA (466 nucleotides) under uncultured bacterium. RNAcentral describes it as "bacterial SSU rRNA". It matches the Rfam family "Bacterial small subunit ribosomal RNA", at positions 338 to 795 of the family's 1533-position model. The record is from RNAcentral.